Non-coding RNA from Pelodiscus sinensis (Chinese soft-shelled turtle), 1033 nucleotides. NCBI's taxonomy places the organism in Eukaryota, Metazoa, Chordata, Testudines, Trionychidae. The record is from RefSeq and is a predicted model, not a curated record.
GUCAUGAGGUCUACAGAGAACCAAGGAUCUAUUCCACUGGGUUGGGUCAGAGGAUACAGGAGAGUAAUGGAUGGGAAGUAUAUUAGCCUCAGAGUCAUCACACCGACUGAAGUCUCCUCUCUUUAGAUCAGCAUGGACUCUCUGGGGAUGCGAUCCGCACUGUGAAUGCGAAACUGGACGUUAGGUUUGCCUAUGUGGCUGAUACUUCGGAGCAGCGAACAGACAAGGGCACACCCUCGCUUGAGGUAGGCCUGGAAGUGAGAGUCCUGGAAUCCUACAAGCAAGACCAUUCUUGUGGUAUUUUCAGCCCAGCCAAAACCAGGAAUCUUGUGUUCUGGAGAGACUGCGACGCUAGUUUCCAGACCAAAGGGAUUUGGAGGAGCAUCUGACUGUUUCGGGACAUAUCCAAACCGAACUGCUAGACUCAAUGUACAUUCAGACUAGAGCCACUGAAGUUGCAGUCACUGAAGCGAUUCUUUGAGUGCUCAUUAACAGCCUCCCCCUAUCAACCCGAACACGUUACCAUAUGAUCUCUGUGAACGAUUUGAGUCUGGCUGUUCUGCCAGGUGCUAACAGCAAGAGAAACAAACUCGCAGUCAAAAAGAAUGAAUAAAGGAGCAGAAUAAAGCUCUCAGCCCCAGAACUGGUGCCUGUUGGUCACACUGUUAACACCUUUUCAGGAUUCCUCUGAUUCAUCCAUAAACCAUGUCACUGUGCCUGCUAGUAUUUGCUCUAGCCUGCUUCCCAGUGACACGACUCAUAGCAAACUGCCCACAACCAGGAAACCUCCUGCAGAACAGCACAUGGUUGGUGCUACGGAAGACAGUCGCACCAACCAGAAACCAUCAGAGGUAGCAGCUGCUGCAGAGAGUCUCACCCCCUCCAUCCUGGUUCUUUUCCUCCACUGAGCAGGUUGUUACAGCACUAAACCUUGGGCCGCGGUAGCCCUCCCAAGAGGGACGCAGUGCAGAGAGAGUGACAAGAGACAACCAUCAUUCUAGGCAGAGUCAAAGGCCAGCGCACUUGUGACAAC